RNAcentral lists this non-coding RNA (229 nucleotides) under Enterococcus phoeniculicola. Its description in RNAcentral is "T-box sequence". It matches the Rfam family "T-box leader". From Rfam's summary of the family: Uncharged tRNA acts as the effector for transcription antitermination of genes in the T-box leader family. T-boxes are found upstream of many aminoacyl-tRNA synthetase genes and some amino acid biosynthetic genes usually in Gram-positive bacteria. The record is from RNAcentral. Lineage: Bacteria; Bacillati; Bacillota; Bacilli; Lactobacillales; Enterococcaceae.
GAAAAUACGUUGAAGAGAAGAGUAGCUGAUAAAUUUAGGUAAGAGAACCCGGUUGGUGAGAAAGGGGACUAAAUGAGUGAGUGAAGAUGAGCUCUGAGUGCUUUACUGGGUUUACGCUUAGUAGACGGUGGCAACCGUUAUAUUGCCGGGUUUCAGUAGGAAUCGUCGAGGUGUAGUUUGUAAGAGCUACAUAAACUAGGGUGGUAACACGGAGUUUUUCGUCCCUUUG